AUAUCACUAAGCCGAGGAAAAGAAACUAACAAGGAUACCCCUAGUAACGGCGAGUGAAGCGGGUAAAAGCUCAAUCUUAAAAUCUGUGCUUCAUAUGGAGUACCGAAUUGUAGUUUUUGGAUAAUUCUUCUCUCCUAAUCAUACAUUGUUAAAAUCUCUUGGAAUAGAGUGUCAUAGAAGGUGAGAACCCUGUGAAUAAUAAUAGCAUGAUUGGGGAAUUUAUGUUGAGUUAUCUUAGAGUCGGGUUGUUUGGGAAUGCAGCCUANAUUGGGUGGUAAAUCUCAUCUAAAGCUAAAUAUAUAGUAAGAGACCGAUAGAAAACAAGUACCGUGAGGGAAAGAUGAAAAGAACUUUGAAAAGAGAGUUAAAAGUACUUGAAAUUUGUAACUGGGAACCGCUUAAAUUCUAAUCUGAUAAUUAUGAUAAAUCAGUUUUACAGAGGGNUGUAGUUGAGUAUAUGAGGCUAUCUCGGUAGUUCAUUGCUUGAUCAAGCUUUUAUGUAAGGUGCACUUUAUUGUAGUUAUAAUCAACAUCAAUUUNAAGUACAUUAGGAAUAUGCUGGNAANGUAGCAUUGUGGCUCUCGGGUUACAGUGUGUUAUAGACUGGUAUGGAAUAGUGUAUUUUAGAUGAGGAAAUCAAUGUACUCCUUCUAGGAUUGCGAACAUGGGUUAUUUGGU
RNAcentral lists this ribosomal RNA (678 nucleotides) under uncultured fungus. Its description in RNAcentral is "eukaryotic LSU rRNA". It matches the Rfam family "Eukaryotic large subunit ribosomal RNA", at positions 40 to 639 of the family's 3401-position model. Lineage: Eukaryota; Fungi. The record is from RNAcentral.